RNAcentral lists this ribosomal RNA (773 nucleotides) under Microbacteriaceae bacterium. RNAcentral describes it as "bacterial SSU rRNA". It matches the Rfam family "Bacterial small subunit ribosomal RNA", at positions 43 to 823 of the family's 1533-position model. The record is from RNAcentral. Lineage: Bacteria; Bacillati; Actinomycetota; Actinomycetes; Micrococcales; Microbacteriaceae.
CGUGCUUAACACAUGCAAGUCGAACGAUGAUGGCCAGCUUGCUGGUUGGAUUAGUGGCGAACGGGUGAGUAACACGUGAGUAACCUGCCUUUGACUCUGGGAUAAGCGUUGGAAACGACGUCUAAUACCGGAUACGACCUCUGACGGCAUCGUCUAGGGGUGGAAAGAACUUUGGUCGAAGAUGGACUCGCGGCCUAUCAGGUUGUUGGUGGGGUAAUGGCUCACCAAGCCUACGACGGGUAGCCGGCCUGAGAGGGUGACCGGCCACACUGGGACUGAGACACGGCCCAGACUCCUACGGGAGGCAGCAGUGGGGAAUAUUGCACAAUGGGCGAAAGCCUGAUGCAGCAACGCCGCGUGAGGGAUGACGGCCUUCGGGUUGUAAACCUCUUUUAGUACAGAAGAAGCCAGCUUGCUGGUGACGGUAUGUGCAGAAAAAGCACCGGCUAACUACGUGCCAGCAGCCGCGGUAAUACGUAGGGUGCAAGCGUUGUCCGGAAUUAUUGGGCGUAAAGAGCUCGUAGGCGGUUUGUCGCGUCUGCUGUGAAAUCCGGAGGCUCAACUUCCGGCCUGCAGUGGGUACGGGCAGACUAGAGUGCGGUAGGGGAGAUUGGAAUUCCUGGUGUAGCGGUGGAAUGCGCAGAUAUCAGGAGGAACACCGAUGGCGAAGGCAGAUCUCUGGGCCGUAACUGACGCUGAGGAGCGAAAGCAUGGGGAGCGAACAGGAUUAGAUACCCUGGUAGUCCAUGCCGUAAACGUUGGGAACUAGAUGU